Molecule: RNA transcript, 385 nt
Organism: Penaeus monodon (black tiger shrimp)
Lineage: Eukaryota; Metazoa; Arthropoda; Malacostraca; Decapoda; Penaeidae
Gene name: trypsin inhibitor-like
Exons: 4
Source: RefSeq, a predicted model, not a curated record
CUGGCACAUUCAACAGUAAGGUGUUUCCAUAAGAAUAAGCGUCACGUAAUCUUAUAUCGACUACAAUCCGAAAUAUGGCUUCUUUUUGCGUUGGUACGUGGUAGUGACCCUGCUCUCAAUGGCGUUUGUGGAAGUGAUGGCCAAAGAACUCAUCUGCCUCCUGCCUGCUAAACUGGGUUCUUGUCUGUCUGUAUAUCCAAGAUUUCAUUAUGACUUCGACACGGAUCGGUGUUUAAUGUUCACUUACAGUGGUUGCAAAGGAAACGCCAAUAACUUUGAAACAAUCGAGGAAUGUCAAGAAACAUGCAUGUGAUCUCGCCCUUCAGGAAACAGAUUAUAAUUACUGAAAUUCUUGGAAAUAAAGUUCCUUAACUGCCACUUCACA